Molecule: long non-coding RNA, 826 nt
Organism: Triticum aestivum (bread wheat)
Lineage: Eukaryota; Viridiplantae; Streptophyta; Magnoliopsida; Poales; Poaceae
Exons: 3
Source: RefSeq, a predicted model, not a curated record
AGUGUGAUGAAAAUAACACCCUGUGUUACAAAUAAGAAAGUGGAAGGGGCGUGUCCAUACCUGGCAGCGCCCCAGUUUCCUCUCAGGAGGCCUGCAAUGGCGGGCCCUUCUUUGCUUCUUCCUCCUUCGCCAGGGUGGUUUGGUGUGCGAAAAACUGUUGGACUUGAUAGUUAAUGAGCCUGUUGUUAUCAUGGAAGAAGGUUUUCCUAAUGCCAUACAACAUGGAUAAUCAAUUAAAGAGAUGCGGACAUCAGAGUUGAGGUAGUUUCAAAUGAUGGGGAGAUGGUUAGGUGACGAGUGCCCUCUCCGAUGUGGAUGCUGAAGAAGUUCAGGUUAGAAUGUAAUCCGUCGGAUCAUCUAUUUGAUAUGUCAUGCGUCUAAAACUUACGUAUUUUCUAUACUCAGUCUUGAAUUAUUGUUGCUGAAAAAUUACCCGAUGAUCAGGUAUCGAUGUUUGUUAGCAUGAUUAAUUGUGGAUGCAAUGUUCAAGAUUGAUAUUAUAUGCGAUUGUCGCAUCAUGCUAGGAACUGACGAGGGCAACCAUCACCACCAAUUAGUCAUAGUUUCGCCACCACGCAAACAUCCGUGAAGGAGACAUCUCCCAUCGCAAGGCGCCUCCUCACCCUCACCGUGCAUCGGCUCUAGACGCACAAUGGACGUAUGAAUAUAAUCUAUUUUUGUGCGAACCUCUUGAGUAUAAUUUAUGAUGUGUUGAACCUUGACUCUGCUUUUGUACCUGCAAUGUGUUGCUUUUGGAAGCUAGCAUAUAUGCUGUCGUGCAUGUAACCUCUAAAAUUGCUACUCAUCAGGUCUAACUGUAUCUGUU